Long non-coding RNA from Toxotes jaculatrix (banded archerfish), 497 nucleotides. RefSeq lists it as uncharacterized. The transcript is spliced from 3 exons. Lineage: Eukaryota; Metazoa; Chordata; Actinopteri; Toxotidae. The record is from RefSeq and is a predicted model, not a curated record.
GUGUCAGGUUGCUGCGUUCCUCUUGGUUGAAGGUCCUGUCAAUCAUCACCAUUUCUGAUGACGGGCUUGAACGCUGCAGAGGAUGGAGAGGCAACCUGUUAGCCCCCACCCGUGCAUGUCAUCACGUGAAACACAGAUUUAGCUUCAAGCUGAUAGAUUCCGGUCUGUACCCUGUGAGAACUCGUCCUGGCUGGGCGGAGCCCCCUGGAACACGUGGUAAGGGAGGAGUCUCUGCAGCGCAUCGCUGACCGAAGUGAACCGACGUCGAUCUGGGGUCUGAACUCCAGCGUGAUCCUUCCUCAACUGCUGUAAAAACCUACGAUGAGAGGACAGGGAAAAUGCACAAGCUCCUUCAGUGGCUGAGAGUCUUGUUCUUGUGUGACUGUACCAGGUAAAGGGGACAGAGAAGUGCAGUUCUGAGUUUGAGUCACUAGAAGGCGCUGCACAGGGCUGGCUGACACCUGGCCUUGACCGCUGAUCCCCGCCGCUGCUGGGCC